Molecule: transfer RNA, 72 nt
Filed under: Ictidomys tridecemlineatus (thirteen-lined ground squirrel)
Lineage: Eukaryota; Metazoa; Chordata; Mammalia; Rodentia; Sciuridae
Description: Spermophilus tridecemlineatus (thirteen-lined ground squirrel) tRNA
Rfam family: tRNA
About the family: Transfer RNA (tRNA) molecules are approximately 80 nucleotides in length.
Source: Rfam by way of RNAcentral
GGUGAUGUAGCUCAGUGGUAGACCACCUGCCUAGCAUGUAUGAGGCCCUGGGUUCAAUCCCUAGUACUGCCA